RNAcentral lists this ribosomal RNA (253 nucleotides) under uncultured bacterium. RNAcentral's name for it is "partial 16S ribosomal RNA". It matches the Rfam family "Bacterial small subunit ribosomal RNA", at positions 524 to 776 of the family's 1533-position model. The record is from RNAcentral.
UACAGAGGGGGCAAGCGUUGUUCGGAAUUACUGGGCGUAAAGGGCGCGUAGGCGGCCUUCUAAGUCGAACGUGAAAUCCCCGGGCUCAACCCGGGAACUGCGUCCGAUACUGGAAGGCUUGAAUCCGGGAGAGGGAUGCGGAAUUCCAGGUGUAGCGGUGAAAUGCGUAGAUAUCGCUUGGAACGCCGAAGGUGAAAACAGGUUGCUGGGGAUGUGCCGACGCUGAGACACGAAAGCCAGGGGAGCAAACGGG